GAAGGGGGCAAGCGUUAUUCGGAAUAACUGGGCGUAAAGAGCGCGUAGGUGGUUAUAUAAGUCAGUUGUUAAAUGUCACGGCCCAACCGUGAACCUGCGAUUGAUACUGUAUGACUAGAGGGCAGAAGAGAGAAGUGGAAUUCUCGGAGUAGCGGUAAAAUGCGUAGAUCUCGAGAGGAACACCGAUUGCGAAGGCAGCUUCUUGGUCUGUACCUGACACUCAAGCGCGAAAGCGUGGGGUAGCAAACAGGAUUAGAUACCCUGGUAGUCCACGCCGUAAACGAUGAUCACUAGAUGUAGGGAGAGCUUGCUCUUUCUGUGUCGAAGCUAACGCGUUAAGUGAUCCGCCUGGGGAGUACGGUCGCAAGAUUA
This 372-nucleotide ribosomal RNA is filed under the name uncultured organism. RNAcentral describes it as "partial 16S ribosomal RNA". It matches the Rfam family "Bacterial small subunit ribosomal RNA", at positions 527 to 896 of the family's 1533-position model. The record is from RNAcentral.